This 263-nucleotide ribosomal RNA is filed under the name uncultured bacterium. Its description in RNAcentral is "partial 16S ribosomal RNA". It matches the Rfam family "Bacterial small subunit ribosomal RNA", at positions 89 to 354 of the family's 1533-position model. The record is from RNAcentral.
UACUGAGUGGCGGACGGGUGAGUAACGCGUGGGCAACCUGGCCUGUACAGGGGAUAACACUUAGAAAUAGGUGCUAAUACCGCAUAACGGGGGAAGCCGCAUGGCUUUUCCCUGAAAACUCCGGUGGUACAGGAUGGGCCCGCGUCUGAUUAGCCAGUUGGCAGGGUAACGGCCUACCAAAGCGACGAUCAGUAGCCGGCCUGAGAGGGCGGACGGCCACACUGGGACUGAGACACGGCCCAGACUCCUACGGGAGGCAGCAG